UACGGGGGGGGCAAGCGUUGUUCGGAAUUACUGGGCGUAAAGGGCUCGUAGGCGGCCAACUAAGUCGGAUGUGAAAUCCCCAGGCUUAACCUGGGAACUGCAUCCGAUACUGGAUGGCUUGAAUCCGGGAGAGGGAUGCAGAAUUCCAGGUGUAGCGGUGAAAUGCGCAGAUAUCAGGAGGAACACCAGUGGCGAAGGCGGUGCUCUGGGCCGGAACUGACGCUGAGGAGCGAAAGCGUGGGGAGCAAACAGG
Molecule: ribosomal RNA, 253 nt
Filed under: uncultured bacterium
Lineage: Bacteria
Description: partial 16S ribosomal RNA
Rfam family: Bacterial small subunit ribosomal RNA
Source: RNAcentral